Molecule: ribosomal RNA, 519 nt
Filed under: uncultured eukaryote
Lineage: Eukaryota
Description: SSU rRNA
Rfam family: Eukaryotic small subunit ribosomal RNA
Source: RNAcentral
AGGGCACCACCAGGAGUGGAGCCUGCGGCUUAAUUUGACUCAACACGGGAAAACUCACCCGGCCCGGACACUGGAAGGAUUGACAGAUUGAGAGCUCUUUCUUGAUUCAGUGGGUGGUGGUGCAUGGCCGUUCUUAGUUGGUGGAGUGAUUUGUCUGGUUAAUUCCGAUAACGAACGAGACUCUAGCCUACUAAAUAGAUCGUCGGCUUACAAACGCCGGCGAGACUUCUUAGAGGGACAGGCGGUGAUUCAACCGCACGAAACAGAGCAAUAACAGGUCUGUGAUGCCCUUAGAUGUCCGGGGCCGCACGCGCGCUACACUGAAGUGAUCAGCGUGCAUUUCAAACCUACUCUGUCAAGAGUGGGGAACCCAAUGAACCUUCUUCGUGAUUGGGAUAGGGGAUUGUAAUUAUUCCCCUUGAACGAGGAAUUCCCAGUAAGCGCGAGUCAUAAGCUCGCGUUGAUUACGUCCCUGCCCUUUGUACACACCGCCCGUCGCUACUACCGAUUGAAUGUUUU